Non-coding RNA from Paramuricea clavata, 270 nucleotides. The record is from the annotation of a GenBank genome assembly. NCBI's taxonomy places the organism in Eukaryota, Metazoa, Cnidaria, Anthozoa, Malacalcyonacea, Plexauridae.
CAGGAGCAAAACACAAAGAAAAAUCAUAAGCGUGUCGUGGUUAUAUAUGUGAUAUAAAAUCAUGUUAAUUUACAUAAACUUUAGCUUUGAUUUUCUCGGUUUAGACAAAGUUUAUUUUAAAAAUUACUUCGCCAAUCAACUCGUAUAAGCUGAGUCGUUUUUUAAGCCAUUUAAAGCACUUGUAGUCGUGUUUUAUCACAUAUAAAACACUCCGCUACGCGUCGUGUUUUAUAUGUGAUAAAACACUCCUACGCGUGCUUUAAAUAGUAC